Long non-coding RNA from Erigeron canadensis, 644 nucleotides. RefSeq lists it as uncharacterized. NCBI's taxonomy places the organism in Eukaryota, Viridiplantae, Streptophyta, Magnoliopsida, Asterales, Asteraceae. The record is from RefSeq and is a predicted model, not a curated record. The transcript is spliced from 4 exons.
UUAUUAUAUAGGAUCUCAUCUGUUGGUUUUUAUUGUAUAUAACGAUUUCUAGGCCUCUGUUAGGUUUAUGGUUGUUAUUUUGUUUUUUUUAGCGGGCAGAUCAAAGGAGCCCGGUGCUGGCUAGAUAAGAUGUUUUUGCAGCAGUCUCCAAGUUGAUGAUGGCUAGCUUGCCGCUAACUUCCGGCUUUGCGAAUUCUCAGUUUUGGUUUCUUUGUUUUUUUGCGCAACUGGAUUGACAGAAUUGUAGUUUUGGUAUUUCACUUUGUUUGCUCAAAACGAGAUUUUGCUAAUAGGACAUGCAAAGAUUGACCUUUCACAAGACUUGAUUGAACUCUGUUUGAGUGUUUGAUUUUCAAUGCAUAUCACCUUCAACAACAUAUAGCUGCACAUGGUUUUGGUUUCUCCUCCAUUGCCUGAUUCCCCUGUUACAACACUUGAUGAAGGUUGAAUUGAAGUUAGACUUUUGUGGAGUUCUCUAGUCACUUUGUUGCUAUGAUUGGUAAUGUAUCUUCAUGUUUAUAGACAAAGUUGUAGAAUUCGUGGAUUGGGAUUGGACCAGCGAGGUUGAGAGACGUUUUUUUUUUUUAAAUUGGGGAGAUGUCAGAUUGGGUAAUUUAUAUACAAAAAUAUAAUUUAUGAAAUUA